RNAcentral lists this ribosomal RNA (526 nucleotides) under uncultured bacterium. RNAcentral's name for it is "partial 16S ribosomal RNA". It matches the Rfam family "Bacterial small subunit ribosomal RNA", at positions 355 to 874 of the family's 1533-position model. The record is from RNAcentral.
UGGGGAAUUUUGGACAAUGGGGGAAACCCUGAUCCAGCCAUCCCGCGUGUGCGAUGAAGGCCUUCGGGUUGUAAAGCACUUUUGGCAGGAAAGAAACGUCGUGGGUUAAUACCCCGCGAAACUGACGGUACCUGCAGAAUAAGCACCGGCUAACUACGUGCCAGCAGCCGCGGUAAUACGUAGGGUGCAAGCGUUAAUCGGAAUUACUGGGCGUAAAGCGUGCGCAGGCGGUUCGGAAAGAAAGAUGUGAAAUCCCAGAGCUUAACUUUGGAACUGCAUUUUUAACUACCGGGCUAGAGUGUGUCAGAGGGAGGUGGAAUUCCGCGUGUAGCAGUGAAAUGCGUAGAUAUGCGGAGGAACACCGAUGGCGAAGGCAGCCUCCUGGGAUAACACUGACGCUCAUGCACGAAAGCGUGGGGAGCAAACAGGAUUAGAUACCCUGGUAGUCCACGCCCUAAACGAUGUUAACUAGCUGUUGGGGUCUUCGGACCUUGGUAGCGCAGCUAACGCGUGAAGUUGACCGCCU